This is a long non-coding RNA of Cercocebus atys (sooty mangabey), 544 nucleotides long. RefSeq lists it as uncharacterized. Lineage: Eukaryota; Metazoa; Chordata; Mammalia; Primates; Cercopithecidae. The record is from RefSeq and is a predicted model, not a curated record. The transcript is spliced from 2 exons.
UGUCAAAUUCAGAGAAGAAACAUGCUGAGAAGAGGCAUUUCCUAUGCCAGGGCUACCUGUGCCUUGAGGAAUACAUGUAGGAGACACUAUUUGAAAAGGAUCUUGCAGGUGUGAUGAAGGCAAGGAUUUAAGAUGAGAUCAUCCUAAAUGUGGAUGGGUGAGUCCUACACCUGAUGACUGGUGUGCUUCUAAGGGAAACAAAAGGGAAAUGUAACACAGGGACACCUGGAAGGUCAUGUGAAGGUGAAGGCUGACAUUGGAGUUAUGUUGCCACAAGCCAAGGAAUGACAGGGUUGCUAGCAACCACAAGAACUGAGAAGACAGCCAUGGAACGAAUUCUUCCUCAGAGCCUCCAGAAGGAACUCACCCUGCUGACGCUUUGAUUUCAGACUCUGGCCUCCAGAACUGUGAAAGAACAACUGUGUGCUGUUUUAAGCCACCCAGUUUGUGGUAAUGUGUUACAACAAUCCAAGGAAACUAAUAGAAACCCCACGCCUUGGGUCUGAGCAUAGAAGUAAAUUGGAAAUGACUUACAUUGCCUUGA